CUAGACUUUCUAAUCUAACUGGAGGUUGAGAUUUUCCUCUGUAAAAUUACAGUUUUAUCACUUUGAUGCUACCAAACGAGAGACCAACUGGGUUCUUAUUCCAAUCCUGUCAAUUGUUGUCUCUCGAUGCUUCCCAAACCUGUCAAUUGUUUUCUCUCGAUGCUUCUCAAACCUGUCAAUUGUUGUCUCUCGAUGCUUCCCAAACGUGUCAAUUGUUGUCUCUCGAUGCUUCUCAAACCUGUCAAGUGUUUUCUCUCGAUGCUUCUCAAACCUGUCAAUUGUUGUCUCUCGAUGCUUCCCAAACGUGUCAAUUGUUGUCUCUCGAUGCUUCUCAAACCUGUCAAGUGUUUUCUCUUGAUGCUUCCCAAACCCCCAAAUGUAGUGUAUCACUGCAUGAGCUGUUGAUGGCUUGAUUGAAGCCAUCCUGGCCUGGGAGAGCUUGAGGCACUCUGUAGCCAUUCUGAUUCUGGUCUCACUGGCCUUGAGAUGAUAUAUUAAAGAUGACCUGUAGGAUGAAUCCCCCAGACACUGGGCCUGGUCCACCACAGCAACAGAGGGAGAGGGACUGAGAUGUGAUUCUCAUCUUCUCAUUGGCAUAUUGGGGUAGUGGGUAGCAUGUUGACGAGGUGACUGGCUGACUGGUUGGAGGGGUGACCAGGUGGAGGGGUGACCAGGUGGAGAGGUGACCGGGUGGAGGGUUGACCGGGUGGAGGGGUGACCGGGUGGAGGGGUGACCGGGUGGAGGGGUGACCGGGUGGAGGGUUGACCGGGUGGAGGGGUGACCGGGUGGAGAGGUGACCGGGUGGAGGGGUGACCGGGUGGAGAGGUGACCGGGUGGAGAGGUGACCAGGUGGAGGGUUCACCAGGUGGAGGGGUGACCACGUGACUGGCUGACUGACAUCCCAAAUGGCAUCCUAUUCCAUAGGGCCCUGCUCAAAACUAGUGCACUAAAUAGGGAAUAGGGUGCCAUUUGGGAUGUCGCCUGGGGGAAAUCUACAACACAGAGAGAUGCAUGUAAUUAAUAUAAUUAUUAACCAUGGGGAAAUAUCUAUAUUUUUUUAAGCAGUACAUUUAGGCUUAUUGCAAAAGUUUCAACAAUACAAUGAUAUGCACAGCACGAAUUGCAAACUUGUAGUGCAGUUUUGAAAAGGCUUCUAAAGAAUGUAAUUUCAAUUUUGAAAUUUCAGACUUCAUUUGCCCUAACUAAAAAUGUAUCAAUCCCUACAAAAAUGGCCAUUAAUUAUAACUGAAGAACCUACAUGUGUAACUGAUUAAAACCCUGAUAUUUGAAUGGUACCUCAAGGAUUGCCAAUGGAAACACAUUUAAGUCAAACUUGAGUUUCCAACAACCAGAGAGAGCUAUGUGUUUGUUAGUCAUGCCUUAAAGGUUAGAGAGUUGAUUACAGUACCUACCAUAUUGGACAAGCCAGGAUACCCUAUACUCUGAGAGACAAGCCAGGAUACCCUCUACUCUGAGAGACAAGCCAGGAUACCCUCUACUCUGAGAGACAAGUCAGGAUACCCUCUACUCUGAGAGACAAGCCAGGAUACCCUCUACUCUGAGAGACAAGCCAGGAUACCCUCUACUCUGAGAGACAAGUCAGGAUACCCUCUACUCUGAGAGACAAGCCAGGAUACCCUCUACUCUGAGAGACAAGCCAGGAUACCCUCUACUCUGAGAGACAAUGACUCUGCUGCCCUCCUUUGGCUAGGGACAGUCACUGUUUAUAUUUUUUAACAUUUAUUUAACUAGGCAAGUCAGUUAAGAACAAAUUAUUAUUUACAAUGAAUGACAGAGCCUACUCCAGCCAAACCCGGACAACGCUAGGACAAUUAUACACCACCCUAUGGGAAUCCUAAUCACAGCCAGAUGUGAUACAGCCUGGAAUCGAACCAGGUCCUGCAGUGAGAUGCAGUGUCUUAGACCGCUGUGUCACUCGGGAGCCCUGUUCCAGCUCAUAGCGGGUUGAUGUUCUCCAGUUUGGGCCCGAACUCCUUGAAGUCCGGUCUGUCUGCAGGGUUGUCACGCCAACAGCUGAGCAUGAGUUUGUAGAGGAAGUCUGGCUAUUUAUCUGGAGCCAGCAAGGAUCUGACUGGACACCUUUUGUUUGUUUCUUUAGC
This 2121-nucleotide long non-coding RNA is filed under the name Salmo salar (Atlantic salmon). RNAcentral describes it as "lncRNA (ENSSSAG00000093813.1)". The record is from RNAcentral. Lineage: Eukaryota; Metazoa; Chordata; Actinopteri; Salmoniformes; Salmonidae.